Molecule: small nuclear RNA, 99 nt
Organism: Homo sapiens (human)
Lineage: Eukaryota; Metazoa; Chordata; Mammalia; Primates; Hominidae
Source: Ensembl
GUGCUCAUUUCGGCAACAUGUAUACUAAAAUUGGAGCAAUCCCGGAAAGAUUCGCAUGGCCCCUGUGCAAGGAGGACUCGUGAAGCGUUUCAUAUUUCU